This 514-nucleotide ribosomal RNA is filed under the name uncultured bacterium. RNAcentral describes it as "bacterial SSU rRNA". It matches the Rfam family "Bacterial small subunit ribosomal RNA", at positions 32 to 518 of the family's 1533-position model. The record is from RNAcentral.
AACGCUGGCGGCGUGCCUAAUACAUGCAAGUCGAACGGUCUUUCUAUGGAAGCUUGCUUCCACUGAGAAGAUAGUGGCGAACGGGUGAGUAACACGUGGGUAACCUGCCCAUAAGAGGGGGAUAACAUCCGGAAACGGGUGCUAAUACCGCAUAGUUUUCUUGAUCGCAUGAUUGAGAAAGGAAAGAUGGCCUUUGUGCUGUCGCUUAUGGAUGGACCCGCGGCGUAUUAGUUAGUUGGUGAGGUAACGGCUCACCAAGACGAUGAUACGUAGCCGACCUGAGAGGGUGAUCGGCCACAUUGGGACUGAGACACGGCCCAAACUCCUACGGGAGGCAGCAGUAGGGAAUCUUCCGCAAUGGACGAAAGUCUGACGGAGCAACGCCGCGUGAGUGAAGAAAAGGUUUUCGGAUCGUAAAACUCUGUUGUCAGAGAAGAACAAGUUGGAGAGUAACUGCUCCAGCCUUGACGGUAUCUGACCAGAAAGCCACGGCUAACUACGUGCCAGCAGCCGC